AGUGAACGCUGGCGGUAGGCCUAACACAUGCAAGUCGAACGAGUGGCGGACGGGUGAGGAAUACAUCGGAAUCUACCUUGUCGAGGGGGAUAACGUCGGGAAACUGAAGCUAAUACCGCAUACGAUCGAAUGUGCCGAUGUGGGAUUAGCUAGUUGGUGGGGUAAAGGCCCACCAAGGCGACGAUCCCUAGCUGGUCUGAGAGGAUGACCAGCCACACUGGAACUGAGACACGGUCCAGACUCCUACGGGAGGCAGCAGUGGGGAAUAUUGGACAAUGGGCGCAAGCCUGAUCCAGCCAUACCGCGUGGGUGAAGAAGGCCUUCGGGUUGUAAAGCCCUUUUAUUGGGAAAGCGGUACCCAAAGAAUAAGCACCGGCUAACUUCGUGCCAGCAGCCGCGGUAAUAC
This 406-nucleotide ribosomal RNA is filed under the name uncultured bacterium. Its description in RNAcentral is "partial 16S ribosomal RNA". It matches the Rfam family "Bacterial small subunit ribosomal RNA", at positions 29 to 526 of the family's 1533-position model. The record is from RNAcentral.